This 394-nucleotide ribosomal RNA is filed under the name Mesorhizobium sp. R-45754. RNAcentral's name for it is "bacterial SSU rRNA". It matches the Rfam family "Bacterial small subunit ribosomal RNA", at positions 10 to 434 of the family's 1533-position model. The record is from RNAcentral. RNAcentral also lists the same sequence under 1 other name. Lineage: Bacteria; Pseudomonadati; Pseudomonadota; Alphaproteobacteria; Hyphomicrobiales; Phyllobacteriaceae.
AGUUUGAUCCUGGCUCAGAACGAACGCUGGCGGCAGGCUUAACACAUGCAAGUCGAGCGCCUCGCAAGAGGAGCGGCAGACGGGUGAGUAACGCGUGGGAAUCUACCCAUCUCUACGGAACAACUCCGGGAAACUGGAGCUAAUACCGUAUACGUCCUUCGGGAGAAAGAUUUAUCGGAGAUGGAUGAGCCCGCGUUGGAUUAGCUAGUUGGUGGGGUAAUGGCCUACCAAGGCGACGAUCCAUAGCUGGUCUGAGAGGAUGAUCAGCCACAUUGGGACUGAGACACGGCCCAAACUCCUACGGGAGGCAGCAGUGGGGAAUAUUGGACAAUGGGCGAAAGCCUGAUCCAGCCAUGCCGCGUGAGUGAUGAAGGCCCUAGGGUUGUAAAGCUCU